Molecule: ribosomal RNA, 120 nt
Filed under: Vigna radiata var. radiata (mung bean)
Lineage: Eukaryota; Viridiplantae; Streptophyta; Magnoliopsida; Fabales; Fabaceae
Source: RNAcentral
AGGUGCGAUCAUACGAGCACUGAUGCACAAAAUUCUAUCAGAACUCCGUAGUGAAGCAUGCUUGGGCGAGAGUAGUACUAGGAUGGGUGACCUCCUGUAAUGUCCUUUGAAGCGUGCUGG